GGGGACCAUCCUCCAAGGCUAAAUACUCCUGACUGACCGAUAGUGAACCAGUACCGUGAGGGAAAGGCGAAAAGAACCCCGGCGAGGGGAGUGAAAAAGAACCUGAAACCGUGUACGUACAAGCAGUGGGAGCACGCUUAGGCGUGUGACUGCGUACCUUUUGUAUAAUGGGUCAGCGACUUAUAUUCUGUAGCAAGGUUAACCGAAUAGGGGAGCCGAAGGGAAACCGAGUCUUAACUGGGCGUUAAGUUGCAGGGUAUAGACCCGAAACCCGGUGAUCUAGCCAUGGGCAGGUUGAAGGUUGGGUAACACUAACUGGAGGACCGAACCGACUAAUGUUGAAAAAUUAGCGGAUGACUUGUGGCUGGGGGUGAAAGGCCAAUCAAACCGGGAGAUAGCUGGUUCUCCCCGAAAGCUAUUUAGGUAGCGCCUCGUGAAUUCAUCUCCGGGGGUAGAGCACUGUUUCGGCAAGGGGGUCAUCCCGACUUACCAACCCGAUGCAAACUGCGAAUACCGGAGAAUGUUAUCACGGGAGACACACGGCGGGUGCUAACGUCCGUCGUGAAGAGGGAAACAACCCAGACCGCCAGCUAAGGUCCCAAAGUCAUGGUUAAGUGGGAAACGAUGUGGGAAGGCCCAGACAGCCAGGAUGUUGGCUUAGAAGCAGCCAUCAUUUAAAGAAAGCGUAAUAGCUCACUGGUCGAGUCGGCCUGCGCGGAAGAUGUAACGGGGCUAAACCAUGCACCGAAGCUGCGGCAGCGACGCUGAUGCGUUGUUGGGUAGGGGAGCGUUCUGUAAGCCUGCGAAGGUGUGCUGUGAGGCAUGCUGGAGGUAUCAGAAGUGCGAAUGCUGACAUAAGUAACGAUAAAGCGGGUGAAAAGCCCGCUCGCCGGAAGACCAAGGGUUCCUGUCCAACGUUAAUCGGGGCAGGGUGAGUCGACCCCUAAGGCGAGGCCGAAAGGCGUAGUCGAUGGGAAACAGGUUAAUAUUCCUGUACUUGGUGUUACUGCGAAGGGGGGACGGAGAAGGCUAUGUUGGCCGGGCGACGGUUGUCCCGGUUUAAGCGUGUAGGCUGGUUUUCCAGGCAAAUCCGGAAAAUCAAGGCUGAGGCGUGAUGACGAGGCACUACGGUGCUGAAGCAACAAAUGCCCUGCUUCCAGGAAAAGCCUCUAAGCAUCAGGUAACAUCAAAUCGUACCCCAAACCGACACAGGUGGUCAGGUAGAGAAUACCAAGGCGCUUGAGAGAACUCGGGUGAAGGAACUAGGCAAAAUGGUGCCGUAACUUCGGGAGAA
RNAcentral lists this ribosomal RNA (1294 nucleotides) under Escherichia coli. RNAcentral describes it as "partial 23S ribosomal RNA". It matches the Rfam family "Bacterial large subunit ribosomal RNA", at positions 448 to 1744 of the family's 2925-position model. Lineage: Bacteria; Pseudomonadati; Pseudomonadota; Gammaproteobacteria; Enterobacterales; Enterobacteriaceae. The record is from RNAcentral.